GCUUGCUCCUACUGGAUUAGUGGCGAACGGGUGAGUAACACGUGAGCAAUCUGCCCCUGACUCUGGGAUAACUCCGAGAAAUCGGUGCUAAUACCGGAUACGAACUGAGACCGCAUGGUCAUCAGUUGGAAAGAACUUCGGUCAGGGAUGAGCUCGCGGCCUAUCAGCUAGUUGGUGAGGUAAUGGCUCACCAAGGCGACGACGGGUAGCCGGCCUGAGAGGGUGACCGGCCACACUGGGACUGAGACACGGCCCAGACUCCUACGGGAGGCAGCAGUGGGGAAUAUUGCACAAUGGGCGCAAGCCUGAUGCAGCAACGCCGCGUGAGGGACGAAGGCCUUCGGGUUGUAAACCUCUUUUAGCAGGGAAGAAGCGAAAGUGACGGUACCUGCAGAAAAAGCACCGGCUAACUACGUGCCAGCAGCCGCGGUAAUACGUAGGGUGCAAGCGUUGUCCGGAAUUAUUGGGCGUAAAGAGCUCGUAGGCGGUUUGUCGCGUCUGCUGUGAAAAUCCGAGGCUCAACCUCGGACCUGCAGUGGGUACGGGCAAACUAGAGUGCGGUAGGGGAGAUUGGAAUUCCUGGUGUAGCGGUGGAAUGCGCAGAUAUCAGGAGGAACACCAAUGGCGAAGGCAGAUCUCUGGGCCGUAACUGACGCUGAGGAGCGAAAGCGUGGGGAGCGAACAGGAUUAGAUACCCUGG
Molecule: ribosomal RNA, 700 nt
Filed under: uncultured Actinomycetes bacterium
Lineage: Bacteria; Bacillati; Actinomycetota; Actinomycetes
Description: bacterial SSU rRNA
Rfam family: Bacterial small subunit ribosomal RNA
Source: RNAcentral